This 412-nucleotide ribosomal RNA is filed under the name uncultured bacterium. RNAcentral's name for it is "bacterial SSU rRNA". It matches the Rfam family "Bacterial small subunit ribosomal RNA", at positions 29 to 447 of the family's 1533-position model. The record is from RNAcentral.
AACGAACGCUGGCGGCGUGGAUAAGACAUGCAAGUCGAACGAGAGAAUUGCUAGCUUGCUAAUAAUUCUCUAGUGGCGCACGGGUGAGUAACACGUGAGUAACCUGCCCCCGAGAGCGGGAUAGCCCUGGGAAACUGGGAUUAAUACCGCAUAGUAUCGAAAGAUUAAAGCAGCAAUGCGCUUGGGGAUGGGCUCGCGGCCUAUUAGUUAGUUGGUGAGGUAACGGCUCACCAAGGCGAUGACGGGUAGCCGGUCUGAGAGGAUGUCCGGCCACACUGGAACUGAGACACGGUCCAGACACCUACGGGUGGCAGCAGUCGAGAAUCAUUCACAAUGGGGGAAACCCUGAUGGUGCGACGCCGCGUGGGGGAAUGAAGGUCUUCGGGAUUGUAAACCCCUGUCAUGUGGGAGC